This 411-nucleotide long non-coding RNA is filed under the name Carica papaya (papaya). RNAcentral describes it as "long non-coding RNA (CPAP_LNC007927)". The record is from RNAcentral. Lineage: Eukaryota; Viridiplantae; Streptophyta; Magnoliopsida; Brassicales; Caricaceae.
GUAAAACUUGCCAUUUUUAUCUCGCAAACAACACAGAAAAUUACAUGCAAUAUUGAUUAAUUCCACUUUUCUAUAUACAUCACUCUAUCUGGGAUUUAGAUAGAAAGCAACCUACAGCCAGUUCAGCACCAGAUAGGCAUGCCCAACAUAAUUGGUAUACAAGAAUGAAGUAAGAGAAGCAGAAUUUCUAGAGAUAGGACUCACAUCAGCAUGCCACCAAUUGAUAGGCACACAGCUCCAGAGUGCGAUAAGGACGGACUUGCAGCAGCAACUUGGAGGAACAUCGACACUGCCUAAAGGCUUCAGAUAUUAUAGACUGAUUUUACAUUUAAACAACUCAGGAGAAGUUACUAUUAACUUCUAUUACCAUUUCAGAGGUAGUUAUAUUAAUAUCUAUUUAAGAAAUCUAUU